GGGCCUGUAGCUCAGGUGGUUAGAGCGCACGCCUGAUAAGCGUGAGGUCGGUCGUUCAACUCGACCCAGGCCCA
Molecule: transfer RNA, 74 nt
Filed under: Bacteroidota bacterium
Lineage: Bacteria; Pseudomonadati; Bacteroidota
Also listed under: 4 other names
Description: tRNA-Ile
Rfam family: tRNA
About the family: Transfer RNA (tRNA) molecules are approximately 80 nucleotides in length. Their secondary structure includes four short double-helical elements and three loops (D, anti-codon, and T loops).
Source: RNAcentral